AGCGUAUAUUAAAGUUGUUGCAGUUAAAAAGCUCGCAGUUGAAUUUCGGGAUUAAUAUGUUGGUCGUGCCUUGGUACGUACUGGCAUUAUUGAUUCCUACCUUCUGAAGAACCUCGAUGUCAUUAAUUUGGUGUCUUGGGGAAUCAGGACCGUUACUUUGAAAAAAUUAGAGUGUUUAAAGCAGGCUCGCGCUUGAAUACAUUAGCAUGGAAUAAUGAAAUAGGACGUUUGAUUCUAUUUUGUUGGUUUCUAGGAUCGACGUAAUGAUUAAUAGGGAUAGUUGGGGGCAUUAGUAUUCAAUUGUCAGAGGUGAAAUUCUCGGAUUUAUUGAAGACUGACUACUGCGAAAGCAUUUGCCAAGGAUGUUUUCAUUAAUCAAGAACGAAAGUUAGGGGAUCGAAGACGAUCAGAUACCGUCGUAGUCUUAACCAUAAACUAUGCCGACUAGGGAUCGGAUGAUGUUAAUUUUUUAAUGACUC
RNAcentral lists this ribosomal RNA (479 nucleotides) under uncultured Glomeromycotina. RNAcentral describes it as "SSU rRNA". It matches the Rfam family "Eukaryotic small subunit ribosomal RNA", at positions 596 to 1077 of the family's 1831-position model. The record is from RNAcentral. Lineage: Eukaryota; Fungi; Glomeromycota.